This 396-nucleotide ribosomal RNA is filed under the name uncultured bacterium. RNAcentral's name for it is "bacterial SSU rRNA". It matches the Rfam family "Bacterial small subunit ribosomal RNA", at positions 29 to 426 of the family's 1533-position model. The record is from RNAcentral.
AUUGAACGCUGGCGGCGUGCUUAACACAUGCAAGUCGUGCGGUAACAGGCGUAGCAAUACGUGCUGACGAGCGGCGAACGGGUGCGUAAUACAUGGGAAUCUGCCCUUUAGUGGGGGAGUAACCCGGCGAAAGCCGGGCUAAUGCCGCAUAAGAUCUUCGGAUGAAAGCGGGGGAGUCGUAAGACCUCGCGCUGAUGGAUGAGCCCAUGUCGGAUUAGCAGUUGGUGAGGUAACGGCUCACCAAGGCGACGAUCCGUAGCUGGUCUGAGAGGACGGCCAGCCACACUGGGACUGAGACACGGCCCAGACUCCUACGGGAGGCAGCAGUGGGGAAUAUUGGACAAUGGGCGAAAGCCUGAUCCAGCGACGCCGCGUGAGGGAUGACGGCCUGGUUGU